This 347-nucleotide unclassified non-coding RNA is filed under the name uncultured fungus. RNAcentral describes it as "partial contains ITS1, 5.8S rRNA and ITS2". The record is from RNAcentral. Lineage: Eukaryota; Fungi.
AACGCAUAUUGCGCUCUACCUCGGUAGAGCAUGCCUGUUUGAGAAUCUAUAGUAUUCAUUCUCUAAGUUUGAUUUGAGCGACCCUCAACUCAUGCUUGGAGAGAUUUGAGAUUUCCCACUAACACUGGGUGUCUUUAAAGCUAUAGCUGUUGGUUUGAUUGAAAUGUUUGACAUUCAGCAAAGCAAUGGAAGAGUAUGUGAAUGGAACCUCGGUUUCUCUAAUGCUUGGUACACUGCAGUUGGAUUUAGUUUUGAUUAGAGCGGCACUCAACUUACGAAAGCCUUGGUCUAAACACCAAGUCUUGAACCAUGGUCUCAAAUCAGGCAGGAGGACCCGCUGAACUUAA